CAAGAUGAAUAUGGCCUUCCAAGAAGACAUGCUGACAAGAAAAGACUCAGAGUGCCCAGGAGCUUCCCCUUCCUACCAACCCUGCAGCCUGGAACCCUAGCCAUACCUCUCCCUGACUGUGGACAGUACAGCCUUUGAGCUGAGCCAAGCUGCUCCCCUGGCGAUUUCCAUAAGAGUACCACUUAUCAGCACCUUGGACAGCAUACAAAUGAUUCUGCAUCUCCAGGAAGAACUGGUCCUUCAGCCAAGGGCAGCACUGAG
This 261-nucleotide long non-coding RNA is filed under the name Homo sapiens (human). Its description in RNAcentral is "non-protein coding lnc-MFAP3-1:9". The record is from RNAcentral. Lineage: Eukaryota; Metazoa; Chordata; Mammalia; Primates; Hominidae.